This 253-nucleotide ribosomal RNA is filed under the name uncultured bacterium. Its description in RNAcentral is "partial 16S ribosomal RNA". It matches the Rfam family "Bacterial small subunit ribosomal RNA", at positions 524 to 776 of the family's 1533-position model. The record is from RNAcentral.
UACGUAGGGUGCGAGCGUUAAUCGGAAUUACUGGGCGUAAAGUGUGCGCAGGCGGCCGAGCAAGUCGAGUGUGAAAGCCCCGAGCUUAACUUGGGAACUGCGCUCGAAACUACUUGGCUAGAGUGUGGCAGAGGGAGGUGGAAUUCCACGUGCAGCGGUGAAAUGCGUAGAGAUGUGGAGGAACACCGAUGGCGAAGGCAGCCUCCUGGGCCAACACUGACGCUCAUGCACGAAAGCGUGGGGAGCAAACAGG